UACGUAGGGGGCAAGCGUUGUCCGGAAUCAUUGGGCGUAAAGAGCGUGUAGGCGGCCCGGUAAGUCCGCUGUGAAAGCCCAGGGCUCAACCCUGGGAUGCCGGUGGAUACUGUCGGGCUCGAGUCCGGAAGAGGAGUGUGGAAUUCCUGGUGUAGCGGUGAAAUGCGCAGAUAUCAGGAGGAACACCAAUGGCGAAGGCAGCUUGCUGGGACGGUACUGACGCUGAGACGCGAAAGCGUGGGGAGCGAACAGG
Molecule: ribosomal RNA, 253 nt
Filed under: uncultured bacterium
Lineage: Bacteria
Description: partial 16S ribosomal RNA
Rfam family: Bacterial small subunit ribosomal RNA
Source: RNAcentral